Molecule: long non-coding RNA, 791 nt
Organism: Lolium perenne
Lineage: Eukaryota; Viridiplantae; Streptophyta; Magnoliopsida; Poales; Poaceae
Source: RefSeq, a predicted model, not a curated record
CAGAGGGUCACCAUCUUUGGAGCACACCAUUAGCCCAUUAGCCCAAACCAUCACCACAAGAAAUGGAGUUUCACAUCCUGAAGCAAACUAGAAAAGGCCAAUUAGAACAUGGCUUUGCUUUCUUUAUAGCGCCGGUGUUGAUUGGAGUAAAAAUAUUACAGCCAUCAACUAAGAUAAUAGAAGAUUUAAUCCUUCAUUUGAGACGCCGCUGUGUACACAUCGAUAUCUGGAGUCCAACCAAAGAUUAUGAAGUAGCGCAGAAGAUACUACAUAUGCCAAAGACUAAGUAAGAUUUUCUACCGCUCACAUCAGACAAAGACCUAGGUAAUAUUUACUUUCUUUCAUUUGUUCAUCUUUGUCCAUGAACAAAAUCACCCUUCCACUGCCUUUCUGAAGGGAGUUAGCACAUAUGUGAAGGCAGCUUCGCUCAGCCAUGACCGUGGCGGUGGUGCAGCCCUCUUCCCAAGCUGAUUCCAAGAGCAGAACAAAUCUCUUUUCGUUUAGGUUUAUGGAGACGGUUGAGGUCCCAGCCAGCGUCAUGUUGAGAGCUAUGCUGGAGAAACUGAACCUUACAAGCCGCAAAUAAGAACACCGUGCUAUUUGAGCUGAGUCUGAACCAAAGAGUGUUUAUCCACCCUUCUGUGCAACUCCUCGAAUGUUUAGUACAGUUUUACUCAUUCUUGGGCUACCCAGGGGACACUUUGGAGAACACAUCAAAUGUUCUUUGCUUACUGCUGCUUAUUCAUAACUAGCCCUUUCAUAAUCUAGCGGUAUACGAGAUGUGUAUCUUC